This 344-nucleotide ribosomal RNA is filed under the name uncultured bacterium. Its description in RNAcentral is "bacterial SSU rRNA". It matches the Rfam family "Bacterial small subunit ribosomal RNA", at positions 917 to 1264 of the family's 1533-position model. The record is from RNAcentral.
GGGUCCGCACAAGCGGUGGAGCAUGUGGUUUAAUUCGAUAAUACGCGAGGAACCUUACCUAGGCUAGAAUGCGAGUGACAUCCAGAGAGAUCUGGAGUUCUUCGGACACAAAGCAAGGUGCUGCAUGGUUGUCGUCAGCUCGUGCCGUGAGUGUUGGGUUAAGUCCCGCAACGAGCGCAACCCCUGUUUUUAGUUGCCAGCAAGUAAUGUUGGGGACUCUAGAAAGACUGCCUGCGUAAGCAGAGAGGAAGGAGGGGGACGACGUCAAAUCAGCAUGGCCCUUAUGCCUAGGGCUACACACGUGCUACAAUGGCGUAUACAAAGGGUAGCGAACCAGUGAUGGU